UCGAACGGCAGCACGGAGCUUGCUCUGGUGGCGAGUGGCGAACGGGUGAGUAAUAUAUCGUGAACGUACCCAAGAGUGGGGGAUAACGUAGCGAAAGUUACGCUAAUACCGCAUACGAUCUCAGGAUGAAAGCAGGGGACCGCAAGGCCUUGUGCUCCUGGAGCGGCCGAUAUCUGAUUAGCUAGUUGGUGGGGUAAAGGCCCACCAAGGCAACGAUCAGUAGCUGGUCUGAGAGGAGACCAGCCCCMCUGGAACUGAGACACGGUCCAGACUCUACGGGAGGCAGCAGUGGGGAAUUUUGGACAAUGGGGGCAACCCUGAUCCAGCAAUGCCGCGUGAGUGAAGAAGGCCCUCGGGUUGUAAAGCUCUUUUGUCAGGGAAGAAAAGGCUGUGGCUAAUAUCCAUGGCUCAUGACGGUACCUGAAGAAUAAGCACCGGCUAACUACGUGCCAGCAGCCGCGGUAAUACGUAGGGUGCAAGCGUUAAUCGGAAUUACUGGGCGUAAAGCGUGCGCAGGCGGUUUUGUAAGACUGUCGUGAAAUCCCCGGGCUCAACCUGGGAAUGGCGAUGGUGACUGCAAGGCUAGAGUUUGGCAGAGGGGGGUAGAAUUCCACGUGUAGCAGUGAAAUGCGUAGAUAUGUGGAGGAACACCGAUGGCGAAGGCAGCCCCCUGGGUCAAAACUGACGCUCAUGCACGAAAGCGUGGGGAGCAAACAGGAUUAGAUACCCUGGUAGUCCACGCCCUAAACGAUGUCUACUAGUUGUCGGGUCUUAAUUGACUUGGUAACGCAGCUAACGCGUGAAGUAGACCGCCUGGGGAGUACGGUCGCAAGAUUAAAACUCAAAGGAAUUGACGGGGACCCGCACAAGCGGUGGAUGAUGUGGAUUAAUUCGAUGCAACGCGAAAAACCUUACCUACCCUUGACAUGGCAGGAACCUUGGAGAGAUCUGAGRGUGCUCGAAAGAGAACCUGCACACAGGUGCUGCAUGGCUGUCGUCAGCUCGUGUCGUGAGAUGUUGGGUUAAGUCCCGCAACGAGCGCAACCCUUGUCAUUAGUUGCUACGCAAGAGCACUCUAAUGAGACUGCCGGUGACAAACCGGAGGAAGGUGGGGAUGACGUCAAGNCCUCAUGGCCCUUAUGGGUAGGGCUUCACACGUCAUACAAUGGUACAUACAGAGGGCCGCCAACCCGCGAGGGGGAGCUAAUCCCAGAAAGUGUAUCGUAGUCCGGAUCGUAGUCUGCAACUCGACUACGUGAAGUUGGAAUCGCUAGUAAUCGCGGAUCAGCAUGUCGCGGUGAAUACGUUCCCGGGUCUUGUACACACCGCCCGUCACACCAUGGGAGCGGGUUUUACCAGAAGUAGGUAGCUUAACCGCAAGGAGG
This 1385-nucleotide ribosomal RNA is filed under the name Duganella sp. RNAcentral's name for it is "bacterial SSU rRNA". It matches the Rfam family "Bacterial small subunit ribosomal RNA". The record is from RNAcentral. Lineage: Bacteria; Pseudomonadati; Pseudomonadota; Betaproteobacteria; Burkholderiales; Oxalobacteraceae.